This 66-nucleotide transfer RNA is filed under the name Bovicola bovis (cattle chewing louse). Its description in RNAcentral is "tRNA-Phe". Lineage: Eukaryota; Metazoa; Arthropoda; Insecta; Psocodea; Bovicoliidae. The record is from RNAcentral.
CCUGGGGAGGCUUUGGAAAAUGAAGCACCGUUUUGAAGUGACGGGGAAGGACCUAGUUCCCCCUAG